Molecule: long non-coding RNA, 12650 nt
Filed under: Cicer arietinum (chickpea)
Lineage: Eukaryota; Viridiplantae; Streptophyta; Magnoliopsida; Fabales; Fabaceae
Description: long non-coding RNA (CARI_LNC003030)
Source: RNAcentral
UCCGUGCAAAUUUGAUAAAGAAGAAUGUUGCUAAAUCUAUUCAUCAAAGCCGUAAAUUUCUAAAUCAUUUAUUUGAUGAAGAAGAUAAAGUUUCCAAAAGUAAUGAGGAAGAUAAAGUUUCCAUAACUAGUAAGGAAGAUAAAGUUUUCAGAUAUGACGAGGAAGACAAAAUUUCAAAUAAUGAAGAGAAAAAAAAAGUUUUAAAAAAUGAGGAGAAAGAGAAGGUUUUUAAAAGUGACAAGGAAGAUAAAGUUUUCAAAAAUGAUAAUAAAAAUACAAUUACAAAUUAAAAAUAAUGAAAAAAAAUGAAGUUUACCAAUGUGACGAAGAAGAUAAACUUUCUUUAAUAUUUCCCCUGUAUUAAUAGCAUGGAAAAAUUUAUAUCUUAAUUGUAUAAAUAAAAGGGUGAAAGUAGACAUUAUACUUAUAACUUGCCAUAUAUAUACAUCAAAAAUUGAGUUAUAUAUAGUUCAUAUCAAUAUUUGGGUAAUGAUACAUUGCUAUCAGAUGUCAAACAUUACAAACUUACACCUUCAAUACUUCUUUGAAGAAGACAAAUUAAAUUAAAUCAAUCCAAUUGUCGAAUAAUCUUGAAUUAUGUUGAUGAUCUUAUAUACAAAACUUCAAACAAUUUAGAAACUCGUUGGUAAAAGUUUUAGUAAUAGAUAUUGUAACAUUCUGAUUUAAUUCAAACUAUUAUUAACGAAAUUACAAACAUGAAAAAUGUGGAUUAUUAUUAUUAUUUAAAACAAGGCUAAAAUAAAAUAAUUAUUUGAUCUAAACCAAAUAAUAAAUUUUCUUUUAUUGACUUCCACAAUAAAAACAUAGUUAUUACGAUUACAAACAAACAAGUAGUUGUGUAAAUAAAAGAACGAAAUCCUAAAGUCAAGACUCUUGGGUUUUUUCUACCCAAGAGAAAACCUAGUUGGUCACAAUUUUGAAUGUUUGUGAAGAAUUCUCAAGGCUAACACCAGUGUUAAAAAGAAAAAUCAGAGCCUCCAUUUACACUAUUGUUUUACAAUUUUAAUAAUUUCCACAUAAUUUAUAUCUUUUUUUUUUUAUUCAGAUAACUUAUAUACUUUCAUAAAAAUAGACUUUGUGAUUAUCAAAUAUAUAAAUUUUCACUUAAAUCAAAGUUAAUAUUAUAGACCCGGAACAGUUGUAAAAUGGUGAUUAGUUCUACUUUGAUUAGUAAUAAUUUUUUCAUCUCUAAAAAAAUUGUUAAGUUUUUAUGAUUUAAUUUUGGCAAAACAUUGUUUUUAUCAUAUUAUUUCAAGAGUAAAAAUUCUUAUUUAAUUAAAAACUCUAUAAUUUUUUUCAAUAUGAUGUAUUCUUCUUAUAACCUUACCUAUUUACAAAAUUAAUACAUUAAUAAAUUAUUUAUAUCGUAUUCAAAAAAAUUUAAACCCCAUGCAAAACAUGGGUAAUAGUCUAAUAAUAUAUUAAAAUAGACUCCUAAAUACUAUUGUAACACAUCAUCUAAUAUUGUGUCAUUUCAUUCAAUUAUUGUCACCACAACAAAAAUCUGAUGUGCCAUAUGUAAUAUUAUAUAUAACUAAUCAUGUGCCAUGAGUUAUAAAUUUAGGAACAAUCAAUAUUAGUUAAUUGACACUCAUUGCUGCUCCAUCAUUAUUGGUAAUAAUUUUUCUAUGGUUUUAACUCCAAUUAAUAUAUUGGUCCUAUAAAUGCUUAAAUAUAUAAAUGACAACAAUUUGUGGAAGUUAUUUUGUAUCAUAUAUUGCAUAUGUUUAUUUGGAAAUUGGAAGACAAUGACACAUAAACUUUGGUCUCUAUGCAACUUUUCUAUUUAUAAGUUGUUUAGAUUGAUUGAGGACAAUUUUGUAAUUUCUUUCAUCUAAUUUGUUAUUCUUUUUAUAUUUAUUUUACGUGCUUUUUAUAAUUUAUGUUUAUAUAUUUGAGUUUUAAUUCUGACUAUAAUAUGUUACGAUAUCUUUAUGAUCAAUUAUUGUGUAUACAUUUGGUGCAAAUAUUUUUGAACAAAUUGUGCUUGUAUUUUAUUAUGAAUUAUGUUAAGUGUUGUAACACCCCAAAUUUUAUAAUAAAUAUUUUCAUAAUGAAAUAGAACUUUGGAUAAUUAAUUUGGUGUUAAAACUAUUUUAGAAUAUAUGUGUAUAAAUCUUGUGACUAACUUUCAUUAUAUGGGAGCUUUCUAUGAUACACUAAUUUUGUAUAUAUUUGAAUAAAUAAGUGAUAUAAAUAACAAAUAUAAUAUUUUAUAAUUUUAUAUAUUUUUUCUAUAAAUAAUAGUAUUUUAGUGUAAAUAUUUUAAAGAAUAAGAUUUUAGGCGACUCUACAUGUAUAUGUGUGUUCGCAGUUAAUGUGAUAUUUUCUUGUGUGUUUGACUGAUGUUAAGUGUGCACAUAUUUAAUUAUUUAAAAACAUAUGUUAUUUUAAUUAUUUAUUUUACAAAUAAUUAUCUUGAUAUAUUAGUAAUUUUAAUAUUUAUUUUAUUUAUUUUUAUAUAGUUGCACAUAUUUAUUUUUAUUUAUUUUAUCAUUUUGACUAUUCUAUAAAGAUGAUGUUUUUUUAUGUGAUUAUUUUGAAAGAUGUUAUAGUAGUAAUUAUAGUUAUUAUUUUGAAUAUGAGAAUUUUGGUUAAAAUUCGAUUUAUUAUUUUAAGGAUAGAUAAUAUUAUGUUAAAAUGAGUAUUUUGGAGAAACAUUUCUAGAAAAGUAAAAUAAACUAUUUAUUUAUUGUGUGCUUUUAGAAAUACUAGAAAAAUGAAUUUUGGAUAAAACGACUGUUUACACCCCUAUUUUCUACUUAUGCAUAUUAAUUUAGGCUAUUACUUGUUGGACUUUUUCUUUCCUACACCUGCGAAAUUGCUCAUUACACCUCUAUUCCUGCAAAAGACACAUACUAGACUCUCCUGCGUUGGGUCUUACAACUUGUUUUACUCAUGUAAAAUUUAUCAUGUACCCCCAAAAAAAAAUUUAAAAUGUCAAAAAUACCCUCAAUUAUUUUUUUACGAUUUCACACAAUCUAAGGUAAAUUUUUUUCACCCUUUUUUUAUUUCCGGAGUCGUAAAAAAGUUUUCAGGUAGGUUCCAUUUUUCUGGUAACUAUCGGAAUACUUGUAAUAAGAUUUCCGGUACAUAAGGUAUAUUCCGCAAAACAUAAAACGAAGUUUUCCGGUAUAAAAGGAAAAAGUUGUGUACCGGAAAACUUAAUUGACAAGUUAUCCGGUACAGAAUUGGCUUCCGGAAAACUUCAUAUACAAGUUUUUCGGUACAUAACAAUUUUUUAAAAUUUAUUUUUAAGUUUUUUGAAUUACAUUAAUUUAUUUUAAAUGUUAAUGGAUAUGGAUAAACUAUUACUAUUAAUGGAUAAAACAUGCGUCGAUACUACAAAUAUUUUUGACACAUAUCAGGUAUGAAUAAAAAUAAUUAAUAAUGUAAAAAUAUAUUAUUGUUAUUAAUUAUAAUUUAUUUUAUUUCAGAUAUUUGAUACAAGGGAUGCUGAUGUGAAUUGGGCAAAAGAAAUCGGUAUAAAAAAUAAUGUUAUUGUUAUUAUCAGAAGAUCAGAUAUAGAGACGGGAGAGAGAGGAAGGAAAAAUAAAUUACUAUUAAUUUGUGACAAAGGGAGAAAAUACAAGUGUGCUGCUAGUUCAACUCGAAGUUCAACAAAAAAGUGUGAUUGUCCUUUCAAGCUUAGAUCAAAACCGUUAAAAGAUGGUUCAGGAUGGAUAGUUAAAGUAAUUUGUGGAAUUCACAGCCAUGAAUUACUUGAUACUUUGGAGGGGAAUGCAUAUGUUGGACGCUUAAAUGAAGAAGAAAGAAAGCAUGUUCAUGACUUAACAAAAUAUAAUGGAGCAUCGAGACACAUAUUACUCUCAUUGAAAGACCGAGAUAAGAGUAAUGUUACUAAAAUAUCACAAAUAUAUAAAUAGAGGAGUAUGAUUCGAUUGAACGUGAGAGGUAAUAGAACAAAGAUGCAACAUUUAUUCACGUUAAUUGAAGAUGAAAACUAUAUGUGUCGGAAUAGAAAGUGUGAAGACACUAAUGUUAUAAAAGAUAUUUUUUUGGGUGCAUCCUGAUUCAGUGAAGACUUUGAUGUUAUGAGAGAUAUUCUUUACUCUUACACGGUAAAGUUCUAAAUCAAGAGACCGAGCUCUGAUACCAAUUGAAGUAGUUGGAAAAUACAAGACACAUGAGUUUGAAUUGUGUUUGCCAUUUUUGAAGGCUAUUUAGACUUCCUUACACAAAUUGUUCUUUAUCAAAACAUGCAACUUACUUUUAUAAAAAAAAGGUUUAGAAAGAGUAAGGUUGAAUAAUAAAUAAAUAAAUAAGAUGCGAAAAAUAGAAGAAGAUAAAAGAGACAUAUUUUUAUAAUAGUUCACAACAAAUUGUUCCUAUAUCUAGCACUCCCUAUACAAAGAGAUUUUACUUUAGCACAGUCGAUGACUUAAUCCAAUAUUUCCAUAAAUAGCAAAAAAGUAUUCUUUACUCUGCCUUUUUAGGCUUUUAGUAUUUUUCUCUAGCCUCUCCAGGUUGUCUUCAUCAAAACCUUCUUCAACUUUCUGGCAUCUUGCCAUUAAGAUUCAUGAGAGUCGUGGUACCUUUUCACGUACCUCUUAGGGGUGAGAAGGUUGUUGUCUGAUUUGACACAAAGUUUGUUUUUCGAAUUCUAACUCUCAUUGAGAGGGUGUUAUAGAUCAACUCCUCUAUCAAUAGAAGUGUGAGAGAACAAGAUAUAUGAACAAGUAGUAGAUUCUAGAUGUUGAUCAGAUGAUGCACAAUUGCUUCGUCUUCUUUAGAAAGUUGAAUUUCAUCAUAGCGUUUACAUCUUUUAUAUCAUUGAUUUCCUUCAGUGCAUACGACAUAAGUUAGAGUUAUAUGAUCAGAUACUUGAAAUGAUUAUCAGUGGCAGAGAAUCACUCGCUUGUCAAGCUUAUUAGAGGCAAUUGAUUACUUGCUUUAUCAAUCGUAUCAGAGGUAGACGAGCUGAGAAUAGCUGAAACAUAAUGUAUCACGUAUUUAUAGAGUCAGUAGAACUAAAACAUUUCUUGCGUUAUAAGAGUAAGUCAAAACACAACAAUGCUUUGCAUUGUUGGAAGCGUGUGUUACAACACUUGCGUCAAAAUCAAACAAAUGGAAUGAAGUAGAGUCUUGUUGUUCCUCUGUCUUCGUACAAUCACCAGAGGAUAUAACUUAAAUCAAGGUAACAUUUGACUUUGAACUAAUACUUGCAAUAUUAUGUCUUCCUCCAAUAGUAGACAUAGUUACUUGUAUAUUAGGAUAUAAUAUAUUCCUUAGAACUUAUGCUACUCUAAUAUGAAUAGUCAUUAAUAUAACUCUUUGUGUUUUAACUUAAUAUUCACACUUUGCAAAUACAGAUACGAGAUGAUUAUUCUUUAUUUGUUUGUUUUUGUUAUCUUAAAACAUCUACCAGAGGAUUGUAGCGAAAUCCCAUUUUGCACUAACACACCCUAUUAAAGUUUCUAACUCAUAGUUUAAGCUCACCAAAUUUUAAGUGUUCUCGUUAGUCAAUUAUUAUACAAAGGGCUUCACUCACAUCUAACAAGUCUUAAGAUGAUUUGUGGGAAAUACGAUUUUUACGUUUGAUUGACAUUAUUUUACACUCAUGAAAUCAAGCGGAGCAUAAAAUUAAAGUUACAUAAUUAACUAAAAAUUUAGGAAUAAAAACGAAGAUAAAAACGACACCAAAUUGAUAGUUAGAUAAAGUAUCACCGAUGCGUCGAAGCACAGACAAGAUCCGACGUCAACUUUAUCGAAAUAUGUGAAUCAGUAGAGCUUCUUGAAAGUUUCGACGAGAGGAAUCCAAAAACGAUAUCAUUUUUUUCCAAUGAUGAAUACGGAGGUCGAAAAAGGAAAAUAUAGUUCGUCCAAAUAAGAAAAUGUGAUUGUUUCUUAAAAGAGAAUAUGAGUAGAGUUUCUUCAAAGUUUCAACGAGAAGAAUUAAAAAACGAUGUCCAUUUUUUUCAAUGAUCAACACAGAGGCCGAAAAAGCAAAAUACAGUCCGUCCAUUUUUACAAAGAUUAUUUUUAAGACAAUAAAAGAGAAUAUGCAUACUGAUACUAUAUUAUAUUAUUAUUACCCAAGGACAAGAAAACUUGCUUGAUUGGAGAAAUUUUUUUUGGUUCUUUUUUAUUCCUAAAUGAAAUUCAAGUCCCCAUCUUUUUGUUUCUUUAACAAAAAAUUAAACUUAAUUGAAAAAAAAAUCAUAGCUGAAUUAAAAAAUUUAAUUUGAACGGACACUAUCUAAAUAAGUGUUACGUUUUAAAUCGUAAUUUCUAUAUCAAUAUUUACAUGUCCUUUCGAAGUUGCUUUUGCCAAAAGGUUUGCCUGAAUUUAAUUUGAAAUUUGACUCUUGGCCCAAAAAAAGGACAUCUUCUUUCCAUAUAUAUAUAGAGAAUACUACUUUAUUAUUUAGCAAUAUUGCGUUGUUGUAAUACUCCAAGAAGUGACAUGGGUUACUCAAAACAUGCAACUUACUUUUAUAAAAACCGAUUAGGCAGAGGAAGGUUGAAUAAUAAAAAAAUAAAUCAAUAAGAUGCGAAAAAUAGAAGAAGAUAAAGGAGACGUAUAUUUUUAUAAUAGUUCACAAAAAAUUGAUCCUAUUUCUAUUUCUCCCUUACAAAAAGAAUUUACCUCAGUAAAGUCGAGGACUUAAUCCACUAUUUCCAUAUAUAGCAUAAAGGUAUUCUUCACUCUGCCUUUUUAGGCGUUUAGUAUUUUUCUCUAGCCUCUCCAAAUUGUCUUCAUCAAAACCUUCUUCAACUUAUGGCAUCUUGCCAUUGAGGUUCACGAGAGUCGUGGUACCUUUUCACGUACCUCUUAGGGGUGAGAAGGUUGUUGCCACUAUCGGGCUAAUUUACAUCAGUUUUAGUUUGUGUCUGAUUUGACACAUAGUUUGUUUUUCGGAUUCUUACUCUCAUUGAGAGUAUGUUAUAGAUCAAGUCUUAUAUCAGUACAAGUGUGAGAGAACUAGAUAUAUGAACAAGUAGUAGAUUUAAGAUGUUGAUCAAAGGAAACACAAUUGCUUCGUCUUCUUUGGAAUGUUGAAUUUCAUCAUAGCGUUUACUUCUUUUAUAUCAUUGAUUUCCAUCAGUACAGAGAAUCACUCGUUUGUCAAGCUUAUUAAAGGCAAUUGAUUACUUGCUUUAUUAAUCGUAUCAGAGGUAGACGAGCUAAGAAUAACUGAAACAUAAUGUAUCAUGUAUUUCUAGAGUCACUAGAACUAGAACAUUGCUUGCGUUAUAAGAGUCAGUCAAAACACAACAUUGCUUUGCAUCGCUGGAAGCGUGUGUUACAACACUUGCGUCAAAAUCAAACAAAUUUAAUGAAGUAGAGUCUUGUUGUUCCUUUGUCUUCAUACAAUCACCAGAGGAUAUAACUUAAAUCAAGGUAACAUUUGACUUUGAACUAAUACUUGCAAUAUUACGUCUUCCUCAUAUAGUAGACAUAGUUACUUGUAUAUUAGGAUAUAAUAUUCUUUGUCUAUAAGAAACAUUUAGAUUAUUGUCUCUAUUUUACUUGGAACUUAUGCUACUCUAAUAUGAAUAGUCAUUAAUAUAACUCUUUGUGUUCUAACUUAAUAUGCACACUUUGCAAAUACAGAUACGAGAUGAUUAUUCUUUAUUUAUUUGUUUUUGUUAUCUUAAAACAUCUACCAGAGAAUUGUAGCGAAAUCCCAUUUUGCACUAACACACCCUAUUAAAGUUUCUAACUCAUAGUUUAGCUCACUAAAUUUUAAGUGUUCUCGUUAGUCAAUUAUUAUACAAAGGGCUUCACUCACAUCUAACAAGUCUUAAGAUGAUUUGUGGGAAAUACGAUUUUUACGUUUGAUUGACAUUAUUUUACACUCAUGAAAUCAAGCGGAGCAUAAAAUAAAAGUUACAUAAUUAACUAAAAAUUUAGGAAUAAAAACGAAGAUAAAAACGACACCAAAUCGAUAGUUAGAUAAAGUAUCACCGACGCGUCGAAGCACUGACAAGAUUCGACGUCAACUUUAUCUAAAUGUGUGAAUAAGUAGAGCUUCUUGAAAGUUUCGACGAGAGGAAUCCAAAAAUGAUAUCCUUUUUUUCCAAUGGUGAAUACAGAGGCCGACAAAGGAUAAUACAGUCCGUCCAAAUAAGAAAAUGUGACUGUUUCUUAAAAGAGAAUAUGAGUAGAGCUUCUUCAAAGUUUCAACGAGAAGAAUCAACAAACGAUGUCCAUUUUUUUCAAUGAUCAACACGGAGGCCAAAAAAGGAUAAUACAGUCCGUCCAUUUUUACAAAGAUAAUUUUUAAGACAAUAAAAGAGAAUAUGCAUACCGAAACUAUAUUAUAUUAUUUUUACCCAAGGACAAGAAAACUUGCUUGAUUGGAGAAAUUUUUUUUUGGUUUUUUUUUUAUUCCUAAAUUCAAUUCAAGUCCCCAUCUUUUUGUUUCUUUAACAAAAAAUUUAACUUAAUUGAAAAAAAAAUCAUAGCUGAAUUAAAAAAUUAAAUUUGAACGGACACUAUCUUAAAUAAGUGUUACGUUUUAAAUCGUAAUUUCUAUAUCAAUAUUUACAUGUCCUUUUGAAGGUGCUUUUGCCAAAAGGUUUGCCUUAAUUUAAUUUGAAAUUUGACUCUUGGCACAAAAUAAGGACAUCUUAAUUCCAUAUAUAUAUAGAGAAUACUACUUUAUUAUUUAGCAAUAUUGCAUUGUUGUAAUACUCCAAGAAGUGACAUGGGUUACCCCAAACAUGCAACUUACUUUUAUAAAAACGGAUUAGGCAGAAUAAGUUUGAAUAAUAAAUAAAUAAAUAAGAUGCGAAAAAUAGAAGAAGAUAAAUGAGACGUAUAUUUUUAUAAUAGUUCACAACAAAUUGUUCCUAUUUCUAGUUCCCUUUACAAAGAGAUUUUACUUCAGUAAAGUCGGGGACUUAAUCCACUAUUUCCAUAUAUAGCAUAAAAGUAUUAUUUACUCUACCUUUUUAGGCUUUUAGUAUUUUUCUCUAGCCUCUCCAGGUUGUCUUAAUCAAAAUCUUCUUCAACUUUAUGGCAUCUUGCGAUUGAGGUUCACGAGAGUCGUGGUACCUUUUCACGUACCUCUUAGGGGUGAGAAGGUUUUUGCCACUAUCGGGCUAAUUUACAUCAGUUUUAGUUUGUGUCUGAUUUGACACAAAGUUUGUUUUUCGGAUUCUAACUCUCAUUGAGAGUAUGUUAUAGAUCAAGUCCUAUAUUAUUACAAGUGUGAGAGAACUAGAUAUAUGAACAAGUAGUAGAUUCAAGAUGUUGAUCAAAGGAAAAACAAUUGCUUCGUCUUCUUUGGAAUGUUGAAUUUCAUCAUAGCAUUUACUUCUUUUAUAUCAUUGAUUUCCUUCAGUGCAGAGAAUCACUCGUUUGUCAAGCUUAUUAAAGGCAAUUGAUUACUUGCUUUAUCAAUCGUAUUAGAGGUAGACGAGCUGAGAUUAACUGAAACAUAAUGUAUCAUGUAUUUUUAGAGUCACUAGAACUAGAACAUUGCUUGUGUUAUAAGAGUCAGUCAAAACGCAACAUUGCUUUGCGUCGAUGGAAGCGUGUGUUACAACACUUUGGUCAAAAUCAAACAAAUUGAAUGAAGUAGAGUCUUGUUAUUCCUCUGUCUUCGUCCAAUCACCAGAGGAUAUAACUUAAAUCAAGGUAACAUUUGAGUUUGAACUAAUACUUGCAAUAUUAUGUCUUCCUCCAAUAGUAGACAUAGUUACUUGUAUAUUAGGAUAUAAUAGUCUGUAUAUAAGAAACACUUAGAUUAUUGUCUCUAUUUUACUUGGAACUUAUGUUACUCUAAGAUGAAUAGUCAUUAAUAUAACUCUUUGUGUUCUAACUUAAUAUGCACACUUUGCAAAUACAGAUGCAUGACGAUUAUUCUUUAUUUGUUUGUUUUUGUUAUCUUAAAACAUCUACCAGAGGAUUGUAGCAAAAACCCAUUUUGGACUAACACACCCUAUAAAAGUUUCUAACUCAUAUUUUAAACUCACUAAAUUUUAAGUGUUCUCGUUAGUCGAUUAUUAUACAAAGGACUUCAGUCACAUGUAGUAAGUCUUAAGAUGAUUUGUGGGAAAUACGAUGUUUACGUUCCAUUGACUUAUUUUACACUCAUGAAUUCAAACUCAAGCUCACAUCAUACAUUAAUUGACACUUUAGUAAAAUAUGUGAAUCACCAAAAGUUCCACACCAACGCCAGCCCUACAACGUGCAAUAGAUGUGUCUGAAUGUGUCUGAAAUCAACGAAGAAUUCAUAGGAUCACCAAAAUACGACUGGAAAAACAAGCAGAGCAUAAAAUCAAAGUUACAUAAUUAACUAAAAAUUAAGGAGUAAGAACGAAGAUAAAAACGGCACCAAACAGAUAGUUAGAUAAAGUAUCACUGACGCGCCGAGGCACAUACAAGAUCUGACGUCAACUUUAUCGAAUUAUGCGAAUCAGUAGAGCUUCUUGAAAGUUUCGACGAGAGGAAUCCAAAAACGAUAUCAUUUUUUUUCCAAUGAUGAAUACGGAGGUCGAAAAAGGAAAAUAUAGUCCGUCUAAAUAAGAAAAUGUGAUUGUCUCUUAAAAGAGAAUAUGAGUAGAGCUUCUUCAAAGUUUCAACGAGAAGAAUCAAAAAACGCUGUCCAUUUUUUUCAAUGAUCAACACGAAGGCCAAAAAAGAAAAUUAAGUCCGUCCAUUUUUACAAAGAUUAUUUUUUAGACAAUAAAAGAGAAUAUGCAACCGAAACUAUAUUAUAUUAUUUUUACCCAAGAACAAGAAAACUUGCUUGAUUGGAGAAAUUUUUUUUUUUUUGGUGUUUUUUUUAUUCCUAAAUUAAAUUUAAGUCCCCAUCUUUUUGUUUCUUUAAUAAAAUUUUAACUUAAUUAAUAACAAAAACAAAAAAAUUCAUAGCUAAAUUAAAAAAUUAAAUUUGAACGGACACUAUCUAAAUAAGUGUUACGUUUUAAAUCGUAAUUUCUAUAUCAAUAUUUACAUGUCCUUUUGAAGUUGCUUUUGCCAAAAGGUUUGCCUUAAUUUAAUUUGAAAUUUGACUCAUGGCCCAAAAAAAGGACAUCUUCCUUCCAUAUAUAUAGAGAAUACUACUUUAUUAUUUAGCAACAUUGCAUUGUAAUCCUCCAAGAAGUGACAUGGCUUACUCAAAUUCAUACGUGUUUCUUGGUUUGGGACUUUUUAUUAUUCUCUCUUCUCAAGUUCUAGCUCAAGUUCCUCUUCUUCUUCCUCCUCCACCUCCACCUCCUCCUCCUACAAUUAUUUGUAAGUCAUGCUAGACUAUAAUGUAUUUUUCUACGCAAAUGCACAUGUUUAAAAAAAUAUGAUUCAAUAUAUGUAUAAAUAUAACACACAUUCUAAUGAAACAUAUUAAAAUGAAAUUAAUAUAGUACUUAAGUUCUAGUUCAAUGGGUAAAUGGAAAUAAUGUUAGGUUAAACAUUUUGUCUUAGAUUUUAACCUAAGACUUCAGAGUUGCGUGUGUUAAUUAUGAUGGAAUUUACCAUUUCUUCUAAAAUAAAAUAAAAAUGAUAUUAUUAUAAAACUAGGACCCUCAAAUUAAACUUAUUAAAAUAAUAUUAAUAUUAAACUUAUAACUUUAUAAUUAUUUGGUUUCAAUUUUAGAUCCUGAAAUUGUAUUAUAUUUUAUUUUAACUCUUAUAAGUUUUUUUUUAUUUGAAUUAAGUCCUUGCAAAUAUAAAAAAUGUCGUUUUAAAUUCUUAAGUUAGUUUAUGGGAUCACAUGGUGCGACAUUAUAGGAUCACAUUUGAUCUCAAGGACUAAAUAUAAACUUUUUAAAAUUUGCUGAGAUUAAAAUCAAACAAAAACACUUAGAAUGACUAAAACCAAAAAAUAAUAUAACUGCAUGAACUAAAAUCAUAUUCAGACCUCAAACUUUUAUUAAGGUAUACGAUUUUUUAAGAAGUCAGAAAAUCAUACUUAUAAGGUUUAUAUAUAAAUUUUUAUUUCACUUUUACAUUUCUUGAUAUAAUGCAUUCUCCAAUAGAUAUUUUAAACACAAUAUGGAAACCCCAAUGACAACUGUGCAUAGUUAUGCUGGCCUGAUGCAUGAAGUGACACUUCUAGAAGCUGAAGCUGAUCGGAUGACUUUCCGUGCAAAUUUGAUAAAGAAGAAUGUUGCUAAAUCUAUUCAUCAAAGCCGUAAAUUUCUAAAUCAUUUAUUUGAUGAAGAAGAUAAAGUUUCCAAAAGUAAUGAGGAAGAUAAAGUUUCCAUAACUGAUAAGGAAGAUAAAGUUUCCAGAAAUGACAAGGAAGACAAAAUUUCAAAUAAUGAAGAGAAAAACAAAGUUUUAAAAAAUAAGGAGAAAGAGAAGGUUUUUAAAAGUGACAAGGAAGAUAAAGUUUUCAAAAAUGAUAAUAAAAAUACAAUUACAAAUUAAAAAUAAUGAAAAAAAAAUGAAGUUUACAAAUGUGACGAAGAAGAUAAACUUUCUUUAAUAUUUCCCAUGUAUUAAUAGCAUGCAAGAAUGUAUAUAUUAACUGUAUAAAUAAAAGGGUGAAAGUAGACAUUAUACUUAUAACUUGCCAUAUAUAUACAUCAAAACAUGAGUUAUAUAUAGUUCAUAUCAAUAUUUGGGUAAUGAUAUAUUGAUAUCAGAUGUCAAACAUUACAAACUUACACCUUUAAUACUUUGAAGAAGAUGAAUUAAAUUAUAUCAAUCC